GCUGUGAUUCAAAGGCUUUAACAGAUUAGAGAAAAGUUCAUGUUUGAUUUUCUUGUUGACACGGUGAAAAAACAAGAUAAUUUAUAUGGUUCAUAAUGAUAAUUAGAGUUUGUAAUUAUUAUGUCUGAGUGUAAAAUUAAAGUCUGAGUGUAUUUUAAUUUAUAUUUUAAUUAGAUAAAAAAGUUUUGUAUUUUAAUUUAUAUGUUUGAUUAAAUCAAAGGAUAAAAAUGAUAAUUAUACUUUUAGAUUAAGUUUAAGACUUGAAAUUAAAUAAUGAAAAAAAAAAGUUAUAAGAUUUUUAAUUAUUGUUGGGUAUAUGAUUAAUUUGGGGUUUAAACCCUAACCCCUAAACAUAAAUUUUAAAAUUUUAAUAUUUUUAUAAUAUCAUUUUAAAAAUAUAAUCUCAAAUUUAAAUUAUAAACCUCAAACACUAAAUCUUAAAUCUACACCCUAAAUCUAAUACCCUAAACCCCAAACUUAAACCUUCCAUCUAAUAUUUUCAACUUAAAAUAUAAAUCUUAAACUUAAACUCAAAUUAGAUCAUUUUAAAAAUCUAAUCUCAAAUUUAAAAUCUAAACCUCAAACACUAAAUCUAAAUCUAUACUCUAAAUCUAAUACCCUAAACCUCAAAUAUAAAUCCAACAUACAAAGUCACUAACCUAAUCUAUUUCUAUAUUAAUUCUUAAAUUUCAAAGAUCCUACUC
RNAcentral lists this long non-coding RNA (704 nucleotides) under Brassica napus (rape). RNAcentral describes it as "long non-coding RNA (BNAP_LNC021394)". The record is from RNAcentral. Lineage: Eukaryota; Viridiplantae; Streptophyta; Magnoliopsida; Brassicales; Brassicaceae.